CUACAUAUGAGGUGAAGAUGAAUUCCACACGCUUGUGUAUUUUUGGCUUGUAUCUGUUUUGUGUAAUGAGAAUAGGUUGUGGGCUUUUAUCAUGAAAUUUUCGACUUUUGCUUGUGGUUUCAAUGGCCUACAUCAGAUAGGUUCUUUAGAUGAUGCAUCUGUGUCAACUUGGUGUCGAAUAAAUGAUGCAUUGGAAUGUGAACCAUGUUUGUCACUUUCUUGGGAUUCUCUCAACAUAUGUGCUAAUGGGCAUGUCCAACGAAAUGGAAUUACUAUCAAAGCACCACCUGGAUGUGAACAAGAAACACCAAGCAUGCUGUGUUCUGCUGAAGAUCGGCUGGUGGCUCUGUAUCCUGAUGGCUCCACCUGGCUAAGGACAACUGCCUGGCGCCGACUAGCACUCCAGUCAGCUGGCCAGGAGACUGCUGAGCCUGCACGUCAUGUGGCUCACUGCUGACCCUGGACGGGGUACCGACACCGGCCGGUGAAUGGCUGCAGGCGGUCUCCUGCGGCCGAGAGCACGUGGUGCUGCUCACACGCUCCGGACGAGU
Molecule: long non-coding RNA, 551 nt
Filed under: Amphibalanus amphitrite
Lineage: Eukaryota; Metazoa; Arthropoda; Thecostraca; Balanomorpha; Balanidae
Description: uncharacterized LOC122370917, transcript variant X1
Source: RNAcentral